Molecule: ribosomal RNA, 207 nt
Filed under: uncultured Halomonas sp.
Lineage: Bacteria; Pseudomonadati; Pseudomonadota; Gammaproteobacteria; Oceanospirillales; Halomonadaceae
Description: partial 16S ribosomal RNA
Rfam family: Bacterial small subunit ribosomal RNA
Source: RNAcentral
CGCGUAGGCGGCUUGAUAAGCCGGUUGUGAAAGCCCCGGGCUCAACCUGGGAACGGCAUCCGGAACUGUCAGGCUAGAGUGCAGGAGAGGAAGGUAGAAUUCCCGGUGUAGCGGUGAAAUGCGUAGAGAUCGGGAGGAAUACCAGUGGCGAAGGCGGCCUUCUGGACUGACACUGACGCUGAGGUGCGAAAGCGUGGGUAGCAAACA